UACGGAAGGCAGCAGUGGGGAAUAUUGCACAAUGGGCGCAAGCCUGAUGCAGCCAUGCCGCGUGUAUGAAAAAGGCCUUCGGGUUGUAAAGUACUUUCAGUCGUGAGGAAGGUGUUAAGGUUAAUAACCUUAGCAAUUGACGUUAGCGACAGAGGAAGCACCGGCUAACUCCGUGCCAGCAGCCGCGGUAAUACGGAGGGUGCGAGCGUUAAUCGGAAUUACUGGGCGUAAAGGGCACGCAGGCGGUUAAUUAAGUUGGAUGUGAAAUCCCCGGGCUUAACCUGGGAAUGGCAUUCAAGACUGGUUAGCUAGAGUCUUGUAGAGGGGGUAGAAUUCCAUGUGUAGCGGUGAAAUGCGUAGAGAUGUGGAGGAAUACCGGUGGGCGAAGGCGGGCCCCUGGGACAAAGGACUGACGCUCAUGUGCGAAAGCGUGGGGAGCAAACAGGGAUUAGAUACC
This 457-nucleotide ribosomal RNA is filed under the name uncultured bacterium. Its description in RNAcentral is "bacterial SSU rRNA". It matches the Rfam family "Bacterial small subunit ribosomal RNA", at positions 340 to 786 of the family's 1533-position model. The record is from RNAcentral.